Molecule: long non-coding RNA, 301 nt
Filed under: Mytilus galloprovincialis (Mediterranean mussel)
Lineage: Eukaryota; Metazoa; Mollusca; Bivalvia; Mytilida; Mytilidae
Source: RNAcentral
CAACUCCUUCGCACACGUAGUUCUACCCAAAUAUAAAACAAAUACUAUUGCUUAUGUUAGCCUUGUCAGUUGUGUCUUGCAGUUAUGAGAAAUCGUUUUCUGCGCUACGCGCCUUUAAACAUGGAACAGGUCAACAAUGACGAAGUUGAAAUAGCUCGAUUUGGACUGUCAAAAAAGCAGGAUAAACCACAAAAAAACUAUCAACUUCAGGGGGGGGGGGGCUUUCAUUUUAAGUUCGCAAAUUGUUUCCCUUAAACUAAGUAAAAAUAGCUUGUGAAGAGUCAUAAAGCAGGAUAAAGCG